UUGUUGGUAAGGUAAAAGCUUACCAAGGCUUCGAUCAGUAGCUGGUCUGAGAGGACGACCAGCCACACUGGGACUGAGACACGGCCCAGACUCCUACGGGAGGCAGCAGUGGGGAAUUUUGGACAAUGGGGGCAACCCUGAUCCAGCCAUGCCGCGUGAGUGAAGAAGGCCUUCGGGUUGUAAAGCUCUUUCAGCCGGAACGAAACGGUUACGGAUAACACCCGUGACUACUGACGGUACCGGAAGAAGAAGCACCGGCUAACUACGUGCCAGCAGCCGCGGUAAUACGUAGGGUGCGAGCGUUAAUCGGAAUUACUGGGCGUAAAGCGUGCGCAGGUGGUUUUGUAAGUCAGAUGUGAAAGCCCCGGGCUCAACCUGGGAACUGCGUUUGAAACUACAAGACUAGAGUGUGGCAGAGGGGGGUGGAAUUCCGCGUGUAGCAGUGAAAUGCGUAGAGAUGUGGAGGAACACCGAUGGCGAAGGCAGCCCCCUGGGUCAACACUGACGCUCAGGCACGAAAGCAUGGGGAGCAAACAGGAUUAGAUACCCUGGUAGUCCAUGCCCUAAACGAUGUCAACUAGUUGUCGGGCCUUUACGGGCUUGGUAACGUAGCUAACGCGUGAAGUUGACCGCCUGGGGAGUACGAUCGCAAGAUUAAAACUCAAAUGAAUUGACGGGGACCCGCACAAGCGGUGGAUUAUGUGGAUUAAUUCGAUGCAACGCGAAAAACCUUACCUACCCUUGACAUGUAUCGAAGCCCGCAGAAAAGCGGGGGUGCCCGAAAGGGAACGAUAACACAGGUGCUGCACGGCUGUCGUCAGCUCGUGUCGUGAGAUGUUGGGUUAAGUCCCGCAACGAGCGCAACCCUUGUCAUUAAUUGCCAUCAUUUAGUUGGGCACUUUAAUGAGACUGCCGG
RNAcentral lists this ribosomal RNA (916 nucleotides) under uncultured bacterium. RNAcentral's name for it is "bacterial SSU rRNA". It matches the Rfam family "Bacterial small subunit ribosomal RNA", at positions 246 to 1155 of the family's 1533-position model. The record is from RNAcentral.